RNAcentral lists this ribosomal RNA (434 nucleotides) under uncultured Roseburia sp. RNAcentral's name for it is "partial 16S ribosomal RNA". It matches the Rfam family "Bacterial small subunit ribosomal RNA", at positions 341 to 792 of the family's 1533-position model. The record is from RNAcentral. Lineage: Bacteria; Bacillati; Bacillota; Clostridia; Lachnospirales; Lachnospiraceae.
ACGGAAGGCAGCAGUGGGGAAUAUUGCACAAUGGGGGAAACCCUGAUGCAGCGACGCCGCGUGAGCGAAGAAGUAUUUCGGUAUGUAAAGCUCUAUCAGCAGGGAAGAAAAUGACGGUACCUGACUAAGAAGCUCCGGCUAAAUACGUGCCAGCAGCCGCGGUAAUACGUAUGGAGCAAGCGUUAUCCGGAUUUACUGGGUGUAAAGGGAGCGUAGACGGAACAGCAAGUCUGAUGUGAAAGGCGGGGGCUCAACUCCUGGACUGCAUUGGAAACUGUUGAUCUUGAGUGUCGGAGAGGUAAGCGGAAUUCCUAGUGUAGCGGUGAAAUGCGUAGAUAUUAGGAGGAACACCAGUGGCGAAGGCGGCUUACUGGACGAUAACUGACGUUGAGGCUCGAAAGCGUGGGGAGCAAACAGGAUUAGAUACCCUGGUA